RNAcentral lists this ribosomal RNA (554 nucleotides) under Marginella cloveri. RNAcentral's name for it is "partial 12S ribosomal RNA". The record is from RNAcentral. Lineage: Eukaryota; Metazoa; Mollusca; Gastropoda; Neogastropoda; Marginellidae.
UAAACCUGUAGGCAUGGUCAUAAAUUAGGAGGUAAAAAGAUAGUUAGAUAUAAAUAAAAUAAGGAAAGUUACAUUUAGUACUAUAUAUUUAGGUUAAAUUAAUAUUAGUUAAUUGUUUAUUAUGUAGAAUUCUGUUAGUUGAAGCUAUUAAGAUUAGGAUUUAAACUAGGAUUAGAUACCCUAUUAUACUUAAUUUUAGAACAUGGAAUUUGUACCUGAGUAUUACUGAUAUUAGAUUUAAAACUCAAAAGACUUGGCGGUGUUAAUUAGAUUUAUUAGAGGAACUUGUCCUGUUGUCGAUAAUCCUCGAUGGACCUUACCUCUUUUAGUGAAACAGUUUGUAUAUCGUCGUCGUAAAUUAACUUUUUAGAAUUUAUUAGUUAUUUAGUUAAGUUUAAUUUUUAUGUCAGAUCAAGGUGCAGCUUAUAAAGAGUGAUGAGAUGGGUUACAAUUAUUGAUUUAUAUUGGAUGUAUUAAUUAAAGAUUUAUUACUGAAUUUGGAUUUAAAAGUAAAUUGCUUUAGGGAGGUGAUUUGAAUAUUUACUAAUAUAUGC